AAAAUAACAAUACCGGGCGUUUUUACGUCUGGUAAUUGGAAUGAGUACAAUUUAAAUCCCUUAACGAGUAUCCAUUGGAGGGCAAGUCUGGUGCCAGCAGCCGCGGUAAUUCCAGCUCCAAUAGCGUAUAUUAAAGUUGCUGCAGUUAAAAGCUCGUAGUUGGAUUUCUGGGCAUCAGCUUCUGGCCGGCCACGGUUUCGUGUGUUAGUGCUAGAAGCUUUGUCCAUCCUUCCAAUCGCCAUGCACUCCUCUUCAUUGAUGGGUGUGUGGUAUUGGAUCUUUUACUUUGAAAAAAUUAGAGUGUUUCAAGCAGGCUUUAUGCUAUGAAUACAUUAGCAUGGAAUAAUAAUUUAGGACUUCGGUUCUAUUUUGUUGGUUUCUAGGACUGAAGUAAUGAUUGAUAGGGAUAGUUGGGGGUGCUAGUAUUCAGCGGCCAGAGGUGAAAUUCUUGGAUUCGCUGAAGACUAACUUAUGCGAAAGCAUUCACCAAGGAUGUCUUCUUUAAUCAAGAACGAAAGUUGGGGGAUCGAAGACGAUCAGAUACCGUCGUAGUCUCAACCAUAAACUAUGCCGACUAGGGAUGAGUGAACGUUGCAUUUUCGACUUCAUUCGCACCUUAUGAGAAAUCAAAGUCUUUGGGUUCCGGGGGGAGUAUGGUCGCAAGG
This 665-nucleotide precursor RNA is filed under the name uncultured Cercozoa. RNAcentral describes it as "partial 18S ribosomal RNA". It matches the Rfam family "Eukaryotic small subunit ribosomal RNA", at positions 474 to 1136 of the family's 1831-position model. The record is from RNAcentral. Lineage: Eukaryota; Cercozoa.